UGAGGCGGCCAGAGCGGCAGGGAAACACCUGUACCCAUCCCGAACACAGUGGUUAAGUCUGCAAGCGUUGGAGCACGUACUGGAGUGAGAGAUCCUCUGGGAGCGCUUCAUCGCCGCCUUGC
Molecule: ribosomal RNA, 122 nt
Organism: Haloquadratum walsbyi DSM 16790
Lineage: Archaea; Methanobacteriati; Methanobacteriota; Halobacteria; Halobacteriales; Haloferacaceae
Source: Rfam